UCACCGGGUGCUUGCACCCAUCGAAGUUAAGGAGUGGCGGACGGGUGAGUAACACGUGGGUAACCUGCCCAUAAGAGGGGGAUAACAUUCGGAAACGGAUGCUAAUACCGCAUAUUUCUAAUCGUCUCCUGACGAAUGGAAGAAAGGUGGCUUCGGCUACCGCUUAUGGAUGGACCCGCGGCGUAUUAGCUAGUUGGUGAGGUAAUGGCUCACCAAGGCGAUGAUACGUAGCCGACCUGAGAGGGUGAUCGGCCACACUGGGACUGAGACACGGCCCAGACUCCUACGGGAGGCAGCAGUAGGGAAUCUUCCGCAAUGGACGAAAGUCUGACGGAGCAAUGCCGCGUGAGUGAAGAAGGUUUUCGGAUCGUAAAACUCUGUUGUUAGAGAAGAACAAGGAUGAGAGUAACUGCUCAUCCCCUGACGGUAUCUAACCAGAAAGCCACGGCUAACUACGUGCCAGCAGCCGCGGUAAUACGUAGGUGGCAAGCGUUGUCCGGAUUUAUUGGGCGUAAAGCGAGCGCAGGCGGUUCUUUAAGUCUGAUGUGAAAGCCCCCGGCUCAACCGGGGAGGGUCAUUGGAAACUGGAGAACUUGAGUGCAGAAGAGGAGAGUGGAAUUCCACGUGUAGCGGUGAAAUGCGUAGAUAUGUGGAGGAACACCAGUGGCGAAGGCGACUCUCUGGUCUGUAACUGACGCUGAGGCUCGAAAGCGUGGGGAGCAAACAGGAUUAGAUACCCAGGUAGUCCACGCCGUANACGAUGAGUGCUAAGUGUUGGAGGGUUUCCGCCCUNCAGUGCUGCAGCUAACGCAUUA
RNAcentral lists this ribosomal RNA (815 nucleotides) under uncultured Carnobacterium sp. RNAcentral's name for it is "bacterial SSU rRNA". It matches the Rfam family "Bacterial small subunit ribosomal RNA", at positions 69 to 862 of the family's 1533-position model. The record is from RNAcentral. Lineage: Bacteria; Bacillati; Bacillota; Bacilli; Lactobacillales; Carnobacteriaceae.